RNAcentral lists this ribosomal RNA (432 nucleotides) under uncultured bacterium. RNAcentral describes it as "partial 16S ribosomal RNA". It matches the Rfam family "Bacterial small subunit ribosomal RNA", at positions 29 to 506 of the family's 1533-position model. The record is from RNAcentral.
AACGAACGCUGGCGGCAUGCCUAACACAUGCAAGUCGAACGAGACCUUCGGGUCUAGUGGCGCACGGGUGCGUAACGCGUGGGAACCUGCCCUUAGGUUCGGAAUAACUCCCCGAAAGGGGUGCUAAUACCGGAUAAUGUCUUCGGACCAAAGAUUUAUCGCCUUUGGAUGGGCCCGCGUUGGAUUAGCUAGUUGGUAGGGUAAAAGCCUACCAAGGCGACGAUCCAUAGCUGGUCUGAGAGGAUGAUCAGCCACACUGGGACUGAGACACGGCCCAGACUCCUACGGGAGGCAGCAGUGGGGAAUAUUGGACAAUGGCCGAAAGCCUGAUCCAGCAAUGCCGCGUGAGUGAUGAAGGCCUUAGGGUUGUAAAGCUCUUUUACCCGGGAUGAUAAUGACAGUACCGGGAGAAUAAGCUCCGGCUAACUCCGU